This is a non-coding RNA of Paramuricea clavata, 248 nucleotides long. The record is from the annotation of a GenBank genome assembly. Lineage: Eukaryota; Metazoa; Cnidaria; Anthozoa; Malacalcyonacea; Plexauridae.
UGGCAAGAUCCUGUAAGAUCUUAGGUAAGUCCUGUAAGAACUUGGAAAGAUCUUGCAAGAUCCUGCAAGAUCUUUCCAUGAUCUUGCAGGAUUUAUGUAAGAUCUUGGCAACAUCUUGGGUAAGAUCUUGCAGGAUCAUGGCAAGAUCUUGCUGAAUUUUUGGUAAGAUCUUGCAGGAUCAUGGCAAGAUCUUGCAGGAUUUUUGGUAAGAUCUUGCAGGAUCAUGGCAAGGUCUUGCAGGAUUUUUG